This is a long non-coding RNA of Tyto alba (common barn owl), 824 nucleotides long. RefSeq lists it as uncharacterized. The transcript has 2 exons. Lineage: Eukaryota; Metazoa; Chordata; Aves; Strigiformes; Tytonidae. The record is from RefSeq and is a predicted model, not a curated record.
AAAAAAAUAUUUCCUUUGCUCUUGUAGGAAGAAGUGAAAGGCCAGCCUUAGAGCCACGUGUACUCCCAGAGGGACCUUGCGCCAGGAUAGAAAUGCUUCUCCAACAGGUGACCAUUUGAAGGAAUGUGUGAAGAAGAGCACUUCUGAGGGCCAAGACUCCUUGUCUCUCAAGGCUGUAGUAAUCUCCAGUUUUCCAAGCCAAAGUCUGGGAGAUUAUUCUUCAAGUCAAGAAUUUUGCAAAAUAUGAGCCUGUGAAGCCUCUCAAAAGAUGGGCUUUUCACUCCAUUACAGAAUGAAAACAAAUUUGAGAGCUUAUGAACUGGAAUUGCUCAUCUCCAGAUAGCAGUACAUGAUGAGCAUUUCCCUUACACAAAAAAAACAGAUAAAUACUCCAGAAUACUGCCAUAGCAAUCCCAAGUAGACCCGUAAAACCAAUGUACAGUGGAUGUGUUGGAGCAGAACGGUAACAAACUGCAGUAGUUUAAGGGAAGCAUCUGUGUGCGUGGCUGUGUGGAGUACAGAUCCAGUCGGUGUGUCACACACAAGCAGCACCUCUCGUUGGAGCCACGUCUCUGUAAAGCAAUAGUAAAGAGCUGAGCUUGUUGAAGCAUGGGAUGUAAGAACAUCUGCCCUUCAAAAUGACAGUAAUGCAUCAGGUAAAUGGAAGUGAGCUUGAGCCGCAUGCUGCAUCUGACAUAAUUAAAGGUGAUGGAAAAGUACUGCUGUUGUAAUGGGGAGAUAUGGUUUAAUAUAUCUAUCACAAAGAAUGCCUUUGCAAGAAGAGUGGAGCAGGAAAUAAAGAUGCACCAGAUUUGUAACAGCAA